Molecule: ribosomal RNA, 377 nt
Filed under: uncultured organism
Description: partial 16S ribosomal RNA
Rfam family: Bacterial small subunit ribosomal RNA
Source: RNAcentral
GUAGGUGGCAAGCGUUGUCCGGAAUUAUUGGGCGUAAAGCGCGCGCAAGCGGUUCUUUAAGUCUGAUGUGAAAGCCCACGGCUCAACCGUGGAGGGUCAUUGGAAACUGGAGAACUUGAGUACAGAAGAGGAAAGCGGAAUUCCACGUGUAGCGGUGAAAUGCGUAGAGAUGUGGAGGAACACCAGUGGCGAAGGCGGCUUUCUGGUCUGUAACUGACGCUGAGGCGCGAAAGCGUGGGGAGCAAACAGGGAUUAGAUACCCUGGUAGUCCACGCCGUAAACGAUGAGUGCUAAGUGUUAGGGGGGUUUUCCGGCCCCCCUUAGUGCUGCAGCUAACGCAUUAAGCACUCCGCCUGGGGAGUACGGCCGCAAGGCUG